GAUGAAGAACGUAGCGAAAUGCGAUAAGUAAUGUGAAUUGCAGAAUUCAGUGAAUCAUCGAAUCUUUGAACGCACAUUGCGCCCCCCCGGCAUUCCGGGGAGCAUGCCUGUUCGAGCGUCUCUUGGAAUACCCCUCACGCCGGCGGAGGCGUGGUCAUGGCGGCGGUGGCGUGCCCCGGGAGGGAGGCCACCGCGCUGGAAUCCAUGGGCGGACGCCUGCCGCGUGGCCGAGCGUGAUAAGACGCACUGGCGCUCGCGCGCGGCGAGGCUGCCGGCCCUGGCCCGCUCGUCGGGCGGGGACAGCAACACUUGGGAACUCCUCGAAUCAGGUAGGGAUACCCGCUGAACUUAAGCAUAUCAAUAAGCGGAGGA
RNAcentral lists this unclassified non-coding RNA (372 nucleotides) under soil metagenome. RNAcentral's name for it is "partial contains 5.8S ribosomal RNA, internal transcribed spacer 2, and large subunit ribosomal RNA". The stretch from base 1 to 121 matches the Rfam family "5.8S ribosomal RNA", at positions 35 to 154 of the family's 154-position model. The record is from RNAcentral.